GCUGGGUGUGAUGGCGCACACCUGUAAUCCUAGUGGCUUGGGAGGCCGAGGUAGGAGGAUUGCAAGUUCAAAGCCAGCCUCAGCAACUUAGCGAGGCCCUAAGCAACUUAGUGAGAUCCUGUCUGUA
RNAcentral lists this small RNA (127 nucleotides) under Marmota monax (woodchuck). Lineage: Eukaryota; Metazoa; Chordata; Mammalia; Rodentia; Sciuridae. The record is from RNAcentral.